This 1521-nucleotide long non-coding RNA is filed under the name Pan troglodytes (chimpanzee). RNAcentral's name for it is "long non-coding RNA NONPTRT011891". The record is from RNAcentral. Lineage: Eukaryota; Metazoa; Chordata; Mammalia; Primates; Hominidae.
CCAAGGGCAACAUAACUUCAACUGUAUUAAUACCCCACCUAGCCAUGGGCCCACUAAACAAUCUCCAUUAAUCUCUACAGUCCAUUGUUGGAAGCUUAUUCCAAUUCUCUACCAGUAGCCACAGGUCUUGUAUGUUUCUCCCAGGCUGCUUAUCUCUAAUCAUAAUGGCCUAAUACAGGGAUAUCCUCUUUUCCAAACUUUCCUAACACCAAAGUGUUCUACCACCAGCAACCCCACGAUGCAGAUACAGCCACUGUUGUUCAAGCCUGAAAGGGACCAAUGCAAAGGUUAAGUAUUUCCAUUUUCUACCCAGAAGAGAUUAUGUAAACACGGUCUUUAAAUGUAUAUAGAUUGUAAUGGAGUUUAUGUUGAAACAGCUGUUAACACAUGUAAGGUGAUGAAAAAAAUACAAAUGAAACUCAAAUUAGGUUGGAGAUUUGCUAGGCAUAAGAGCCGUAAGACUGCCAAGAUAAAGCUCAUGAGGAGUGAGAAGAAGGGGUGAGAAUAACUGGGGAAGGUUUCACAGUGGGAGUAAGACCCUGGAAGACACGCACUAUUUGGGCAGAUGAAGAAGGUAUUCCAGAUGUAGGCAGCAGCAUGAACAAAUCCCCAGAGGUAGGAAUGAGCACAGCAUGUGGAAAGGUCAGUGAAGGCACAGCCACGGCUGAAGCAGAACAGGAUCCCUGGAGAAGAACAGGAGGUAUGGCUGGAGAGGGGCACUGGGGACUGACCAGGGAUGGCCCAAGGACCUUGACUGGCUUCUUCUCCACAGGGUGCAAUUUCUGAUGCUGAACAAAACUUCCAUACCAUUUGAAGGCUUUCCCACACACCUUACAUUCAUAAGGCUUCUCCCCAGUGUGAACUCUCUGAUGCUGAAUGGAGGCUAUUUUCUGGGUGAAGGCUUUGCCACACUCCUUACAUUGAUAAGGUUUCUCCCCAGUAUGAAUUCUCUGAUGGACAAUAAAAAGUGACCUACAACCGAAAGCUUUCCAACAUUCCUUACAUUUAUAGAGUUUCUCUCCCGUGUGUAAUCUCUGAUGCUGCAGGUAUGCCGCACUCCUACGGAAAGCCUUUCCACACUCUUUACAUUCAUAGGGUUUCUCUCCAGUGUGGAUCCUCUGAUGUUGAGUCAAGGCUGUGUUGGAACUCAAACCUUUGCCACACUCCUUACAUUCAUAGGGCCCUUCUCCAAUGUGGUUUUUCUCAUGUACAAUACAAUCAUAGCUGGACUUGAAAGCUUUGCCACACUCCUUACACUUAAAGGGCUUUUCCCCAGUAUGACUCAUCUGAUGCCGAAUAAGCUUUGAGUUAUAUCGGAAGAUUUUCCCACAUUCUUUACAUUCAUAGAACUUCAUUCCACCUCGAAGUAUCAGAUUUGGAUUUAGAUUGAAAGUCUGCUUCAGUGCCUUCCUUUUAAAAUCAAAGUGCUGAGAAACGUUCCUGAGAAGUCCUCCUACUGGCAUUCUGCGCAACUCUGUUUCUUCAGAGGCUUCCUGCUUUAUAACUAGCCCUUCAUUUUUG